UUUGUUUUUGUUUUUUUUGUUUGUUUGUUGCUUUGUUCUGUUUUGAUGAUACGUAAUUGUUCACUAGUCCAGUAGUCAGCCCUCCAGUGUUGAGUUGAACUAUCAUUUGAUAUGGUAAUAUUAAUAAAUUAACUGUUUACAAAACUUUGAAUUGUUUGAAUUACUUAGAAUGUUUUUAAGUUUUGGUCCUUAAUGCUUUUCAACUUCUUCCUGUAUUUGGCCUUCAAACUGCUCUCAUACGAACAUCACUUAUAAGGCUUGUGUAUGCAAAAC
RNAcentral lists this long non-coding RNA (273 nucleotides) under Mytilus galloprovincialis (Mediterranean mussel). The record is from RNAcentral. Lineage: Eukaryota; Metazoa; Mollusca; Bivalvia; Mytilida; Mytilidae.